Molecule: long non-coding RNA, 514 nt
Filed under: Homo sapiens (human)
Lineage: Eukaryota; Metazoa; Chordata; Mammalia; Primates; Hominidae
Description: non-protein coding lnc-NAPB-5:3
Source: RNAcentral
UUGGCUCCUAGGAAUUCAAUGUUACUCUCAGAAUGGGAGUAAAUAACUGAGGAGGAGAGUGUCGGUGGGAGAUAGAUGCUUCAUCUUGAGGCCUGUAGCAUGAGCCCAGAGAGGGAUGGAGGGAAUCUCAAGGCUGAAGUGGUCUUAAAGAAGGGAGAUGGGAUGCUGCCGGGAAUGUGGGAUGCUGUCGGGGAGGCAGGAUGCUCUUGAGAAUGUGGGAUGCUGUUGGGGAGGCAGGAUGCUGGUGGGGAGGCAGGCAAGGCGGGAUGCCAUUGGGAAGGCGGGAUGCCGUCGGGGAGGCGGGAUGCCGUCGGGGAGGGUGGAUGCCGUCGGGGAGGCGGGAUGCUGUCAGGGAGGCGGGAUGCCAUUGGGGAGGUGGGAUGCUGUCGGGGAGGUGGGAUGCUGUUGGGGAAGCGAGAUGAUUUUGCAGAGGCAGGAUGCUGUUGGGGAGGCGGGAUGCUUUUCUCACUCUGGCUGUCCCUGUACACCAGGGCACUGUCUCUGCCCAGUGCUC